Molecule: small nucleolar RNA, 71 nt
Organism: Nannospalax galili (Upper Galilee mountains blind mole rat)
Lineage: Eukaryota; Metazoa; Chordata; Mammalia; Rodentia; Spalacidae
Product: small nucleolar RNA SNORD35
Exons: 1
Source: RefSeq, a predicted model, not a curated record
UGCGCCUCACGAUGGUCUGCAGAUGCCCAGGGCAGUGCCGAUAAUGCCACAGGCUCAGAUGAUGCCAAGAG